Molecule: long non-coding RNA, 1355 nt
Filed under: Homo sapiens (human)
Lineage: Eukaryota; Metazoa; Chordata; Mammalia; Primates; Hominidae
Description: long non-coding RNA NONHSAT158704.1
Source: RNAcentral
CAGGGCAGGAGUCCAUCUGCACCCAGGAGGAGGGCGACUGCUGUCCCACCUUCCGCUGCAGACCUCAGCUGUGUUCGUACAAUGGCACCUUCUACGGGGUUGGUGCAACCUUCCCAGGCGCCCUUCCCUGCCACAUGUGUACCUGCCUCUCUGGGGACACCCAGGACCCAACGGUGCAAUGUCAGGAGGAUGCCUGCAACAAUACUACCUGUCCCCAGGGCUUUGAGUACAAGAGAGUGGCCGGGCAGUGCUGUGGGGAGUGCGUCCAGACCGCCUGCCUCACGCCCGAUGGCCAGCCAGUCCAGCUGAAUGAAACCUGGGUCAACAGCCAUGUGGACAACUGCACCGUGUACCUCUGUGAGGCUGAGGGUGGAGUCCAUUUGCUGACCCCACAGCCUGCAUCCUGCCCAGAUGUGUCCAGCUGCAGGGGGAGCCUCAGGAAAACCGGCUGCUGCUACUCCUGUGAGGAGGACUCCUGUCAAGUCCGCAUCAACACGACCAUCCUGUGGCACCAGGGCUGCGAGACCGAGGUCAACAUCACCUUCUGCGAGGGCUCCUGCCCCGGAGCGUCCAAGUACUCAGCAGAGGCCCAGGCCAUGCAGCACCAGUGCACCUGCUGCCAGGAGAGGCGGGUCCACGAGGAGACGGUGCCCUUGCACUGUCCUAACGGCUCAGCCAUCCUGCACACCUACACCCACGUGGAUGAGUGUGGCUGCACGCCCUUCUGUGUCCCUGCGCCCAUGGCUCCCCCACACACCCGUGGCUUCCCGGCCCAGGAGGCCACUGCUGUCUGAGAACGUUCUGCCUCCAUCCCCAUGCUCUGUCCACCUGGAGCCAGGAUGUGCAUUGUCUGAUCAUGAAAACCUUGGGCCUCCUCUGCGGAGCCCCCCGGCCUGUGUGUGGCACCCCGCGCUCCGUGCUCCUGCUGCCCACCCCGUGGGUGAAACCGGCCCCAGAAGGGUGAGGGGCCAGCAGGACCCCUUUCGGGAGGGCGCCACUCAGGAGUCCUACCCUGGGAGAGCCUGUGGCCCACCUUGGCCUUGCCCCUCCCUGAUGUCACUGGGACGCCCUGGAACAAACUAAGCAUGUGCGGGCCUAUGUGUCCCUGCCACGGCCGGAGCGCCCGCGCAGCACGGAUUCCAGCUGGCCACGUCCGGCCGCUGGGGCAGACAGGCUGGUCCAGGCAAGGCCAGCUGCUGCCAGGAAGCUGCGACAGGCAAGGCGGCCGCCUGUCCAUGCCUGCUGCAGGGUAACUCAGGGCUGAGGUCGCAACGGCCAGGUCAGAGAGGGGUCAGCAUCCCAAAGCCCCCUCUGCUCAACCCAGCCCAGUUUUGCAAAUAAACCCUGAGCAUUGA